Molecule: long non-coding RNA, 1260 nt
Organism: Papaver somniferum (opium poppy)
Lineage: Eukaryota; Viridiplantae; Streptophyta; Magnoliopsida; Ranunculales; Papaveraceae
Exons: 3
Source: RefSeq, a predicted model, not a curated record
CUCAUUUUUCUUUUCCUUUUCUCUUUCUUUAUUUUCCCUUCAGCUCUUCUCAAGCUUAGUUUCGAUCUUUUAAGAGAUUAGAGUCUUACAAAAGUUUCGAUCUAUGUAAGCUUUUUCGAUUUAGGGUUACAUCGUCUGUUUUUCACCACAUUUGGGGAAAAGCUCGAGACUGCUGUUGUUAAUUGAGUUAGGGUUUUAUUUUGAUGGAUCUGGUGAUGUUGGAGAAGAAGAUGAUGAAGAUUUAAUCUGUGGUUACAAGAAUCAGUACAGGAAGAAAUGGAAAUGUUUUCAUCUGCUAACCGUGGCUUCACGAAGAAGAAAGGGGUCACUGUUGUAAUUGGAGUUGAUUUCAUGGGUUUGGUUCGGAUUCGAUGGUUGAUUUGAGUUGGAACAAGUCAGCGGCUGAUUGGGUUUUGAGAUUGAAGUUGCAGUGCUGCACAUGGAUGAAGAAAUGAGCUGCUAAUGGUUUUGUUGUCGCUGUUGCUGUUUAGGGAAACUGUGUGUUAGGGCAUUGGGUUCUGAAAGUUUUGAGAUACAGAGAUCUCAAGCAAAGAAGGAUCAGUUGGAUUAUGAAUUGAAUUUGCAAGGAUUCAAGAGGAGAUGGAAAAGGUGUUGCUGCUAGUGAUAGUAAGAACUGGUGGUGAUGUUCUAGAUAACUGAAAUUGGUGUUGCAGGCAGUAUGGUGGAUGAGUUAUGUGAGCUGAGUUGCAAUAGGAAUUGGUGCGUGGAUCUUUAGCUCGUGCUGGAGAAGUCAGAGGACAAACUUCAAAGGUAACUAAACAAUGCAAGAAUAAGAAUGCUAGAGGUAGAGCUCACAGGGAAUGUUUCGUUGCUGCUGCCUGCUGGCCAAAUGCCUAGUGACAAGACUGUUGGCGGAGGAGGCCGAGCUUCAGAGACAAGACUGUUGUUGGUUUAGACUUCCAUCUCUAAGAUUUUUAUUUUGUGACAAUAGGCUCUCAGGUAUAGAAAGUUUUGGGGAGAAAAGGACGAGCUUCGGAGAUUCAAAGAUGACAUAUUGCGGAAAGCACAAGUAGUUUGCUUUAACAUAUGACGGCUCUUCAUGGUUUAGCGUUUCUGUUUUGAGAUUACUAAUGUGCUACAAUUUUUUGUUGUACGGAACAAUAUGGGAAUGUCAGCAUUGGGAAAGGCACCUCAUUGUCAAAUUGUUGUUGUGUGAUCUGUUCCUUUGUAGGUUUGCGAUCAUUUGUUGUUUGCGGUUGCAGAUUUCCAUUCUAUUUUUUACACCGUUCUUUUCGAAGG